GUCCGUGAUGGAGUAGAUGUGUGGCGGCACCUCGUGGCGUUUCUUGCCCUUAUACAUCUCGAUGAUCUUUUCAGAGUAGAUGGGCAGCAUCUUGUAGGGGUUCACCACAACGCAGAACAGACCUGAGUACGUCUGUGGAGGGAAGAAAGACCUCGUCAGAGCAGAAAGGUGAAAGGAUGUCGUGUUGCAGUUGUUAAAGCCCUGGGCUACGUGACAGUGGCUGAAUCCCAACCUUCGGACUCACAGACUCACCGACAUAGAGAUCAGGCUGGAGAAGUAUCUCUCUCGGAGGUUGUGGAGGACUGAGGCUUCGUUGAGGAAAGUGAGGGCGGCCAUGUCCUCCACCUUGCUGAACUUGGGCGGGUUCAUCUUCUGGAUCUCGUCUUUGUUCACCUUCACCUUCUGGCCGUUGGAGAGCUCCACCAGCACCUGCAGCCAAAAACCCACCGUGUCAUAAAGUUUUGUGACAUUUACUUCAUUUACAAACUUAAUAAAGACGGUAGGUAUUGAUAUCAAGCAGCUCCCCGCAGUUUCUAUAUGUUGGCAUAGAUUUUUAAAAAAGACAGAGAAAGAGAAGCAACUUGUUACUGAACAACACAAAAUCUGUCAGCAAGCAAAAAUUAAAACUCUGCCUGGAAUAUAACAUUACAUGUUUGAAGCCCAGUUCUGUUUGUUGCCUUUGUGAUUAAAAUUAGUGUGUGCCUAUUUA
Long non-coding RNA from Micropterus dolomieu (smallmouth bass), 709 nucleotides. RefSeq lists it as uncharacterized. The record is from RefSeq and is a predicted model, not a curated record. Lineage: Eukaryota; Metazoa; Chordata; Actinopteri; Centrarchiformes; Centrarchidae. The transcript has 3 exons.